GGGGCUAUGGUAUAGUUGGUAAUACGCUGCGUUCGCAAUGCAGAGAUCAGGGGUUCGAGUCCCCUUAGCUCCACCA
This 76-nucleotide transfer RNA is filed under the name Christensenellaceae bacterium OttesenSCG-928-K19. RNAcentral describes it as "tRNA-Ala". It matches the Rfam family "tRNA". From Rfam's summary of the family: Transfer RNA (tRNA) molecules are approximately 80 nucleotides in length. The record is from RNAcentral. Lineage: Bacteria; Bacillati; Bacillota; Clostridia; Christensenellales; Christensenellaceae.